GGCCCUAAAUCUUGAUGCUUCCCAAACACAAACAUCCGCCCGAGAACUACGAGCACAAACGCUUAAAACUCUAAGGACUUGGCGGUGCCCUAAACCCACCUAGAGGAGCCUGUUCUAUAAUCGAUAACCCACGAUCCACCCGACCACUUCUUGCCAAAACAGCCUACAUACCGCCGUCCCCAGCCCACCUCUGUGAGAGCACAACAGUGAGCCCAACAGCCCCCACUCCGCUAAUAAGACAGGUCAAGGUAUAGCCCACGAAGUGGAAGAAAUGGGCUACAUUUUCUAAAAUAGAACACCUAACGAAAAGGGGCCUGAAACCUGCCCCAAGAAGGCGGAUUUAGCAGUAAAGCGGGACAAUCAAGCCCCCUUUAAGCCGGUCCUAGGGCA
RNAcentral lists this ribosomal RNA (390 nucleotides) under Amazona collaria (yellow-billed parrot). RNAcentral describes it as "partial 12S ribosomal RNA". It matches the Rfam family "Bacterial small subunit ribosomal RNA", at positions 798 to 1381 of the family's 1533-position model. Lineage: Eukaryota; Metazoa; Chordata; Aves; Psittaciformes; Psittacidae. The record is from RNAcentral.